RNAcentral lists this long non-coding RNA (210 nucleotides) under Glycine max (soybean). RNAcentral describes it as "long non-coding RNA (GMAX_LNC000556)". Lineage: Eukaryota; Viridiplantae; Streptophyta; Magnoliopsida; Fabales; Fabaceae. The record is from RNAcentral.
UUAGAAAUCUUUGUUUGUUCUAUGCACACAUGGCACCUACACCUUUGCAUACACAGUGAGUUAUUGGGCCCUAUACCCGGGUCCAUGGAGACAUAGGAAGUGGAGGUUGAUCUGUGGUCAUGUUGGGUCUCUGACUCGCUUGAUGACAGUGAAGCAUCAUCUAGAGUUUUUCUCUUUGAUGAUACAUUGUCACUAGUAGUCCUUAUCGCC